Molecule: transfer RNA, 82 nt
Filed under: Nanobdellota archaeon
Lineage: Archaea; Nanobdellati; Nanobdellota
Description: Nanoarchaeota archaeon tRNA-Ser
Rfam family: tRNA
About the family: Transfer RNA (tRNA) molecules are approximately 80 nucleotides in length. Their secondary structure includes four short double-helical elements and three loops (D, anti-codon, and T loops). Further hydrogen bonds mediate the characteristic L-shaped molecular structure. tRNAs have two regions of fundamental functional importance: the anti-codon, which is responsible for specific mRNA codon recognition, and the 3' end, to which the tRNAs corresponding amino acid is attached (by aminoacyl-tRNA synthetases). tRNAs cope with the degeneracy of the genetic code in two manners: having more than one tRNA (with a specific anti-codon) for a particular amino acid; and 'wobble' base-pairing, i.e. permitting non-standard base-pairing at the 3rd anti-codon position.
Source: RNAcentral
GCCGGGGUGGCCGAGCGGUAAGGCGCAGGCCUUGAGAGCCUGUGGGCAUUUGCCCGCGCAGGUUCGAAUCCUGCCCCCGGCG